GUGGGGAAUAUUGGACAAUGGGCGAAAGCCUGAUCCAGCCAUGCCGCGUGUGUGAAGCAGGUCUUCGGAUUGUAAAGCACUUUAAGUUGGGAGGAAGGGCAGUAAGUUAAUACCUUGCUGUUUUGACGUUACCAACAGAAUAAGCACCGGCUAACUUCGUGCCAGCAGCCGCGGUAAUACGAAGGGUGCAAGCGUUAAUCGGAAUUACUGGGCGUAAAGCGCGCGUAGGUGGUUCAGCAAGUUGGAGGUGAAAUCCCCGGGCUCAACCUGGGAACUGCCUCCAAAACUACUGGGCUAGAGUACGGUAGAGGGUAGUGGAAUUUCCUGUGUAGCGGUGAAAUGCGUAGAUAUAGGAAGGAACACCAGUGGCGAAGGCGACUACCUGGACUGAUACUGACACUGAGGUGCGAAAGCGUGGGGAGCAAACAGGAUUAGAUACCCUAGUAGUCC
This 450-nucleotide ribosomal RNA is filed under the name uncultured bacterium. Its description in RNAcentral is "partial 16S ribosomal RNA". It matches the Rfam family "Bacterial small subunit ribosomal RNA", at positions 354 to 796 of the family's 1533-position model. The record is from RNAcentral.